AGCUCCAAUAGCGUAUAUUAAAGUUGUUGCAGUUAAAAAGCUCGUAGUUGGAUUUCGGAGCGGGCCAGUCGGUCCACCGAAAGGUGUGUUACUGACUGGUCUGUUCUUCUUCGCGAAGACUACGCGUGCUCUUCGUUGAGUGUGCGUAGGAUUUACGACGUUUACUUUGAAAAAAUUAGAGUGUUCAAAGCAGGCUGUCGCUUGAAUACAUGAGCAUGGAAUAAUGGAAUAGGACUUUGGUUCUAUUUUGUUGGUUUCUAGGACCGAAGUAAUGAUUAAGAGGGACAAUUGGGGGCAUCCGUAUUUUGUUGUCAGAGGUGAAAUUCUUGGAUUUACGAAAGACGAACAACUGCGAAAGCAUUUGCCAAGAGUGUUUUCAUUAAUCAAGAACGAAAGUAGG
This 400-nucleotide ribosomal RNA is filed under the name phytoplankton environmental sample. RNAcentral describes it as "partial small subunit ribosomal RNA". It matches the Rfam family "Eukaryotic small subunit ribosomal RNA", at positions 587 to 993 of the family's 1831-position model. The record is from RNAcentral.